GUCCACGCCGUAAACGAUGGGUGCUAGGUGUGGGGAGUGUCGACUCUCUCCGUGCCGAAGCUAACGCAUUAAGCACCCCGCCUGGGGAGUACGGCCGCAAGGCUAAAACUCAAAGGAAUUGACGGGGCCCGCACAAGCAGCGGAGCAUGUUGUUUAAUUCGACGCAACGCGAAGAACCUUACCAGGGCUUGACAUGCACGGGAAUGUCGUAGAAAUACGGCAGCCCUUCGGGGCUCGUGCACAGGUGUUGCAUGGCCGUCGU
RNAcentral lists this ribosomal RNA (262 nucleotides) under uncultured bacterium. RNAcentral describes it as "partial 16S ribosomal RNA". It matches the Rfam family "Bacterial small subunit ribosomal RNA", at positions 793 to 1055 of the family's 1533-position model. The record is from RNAcentral.